Molecule: long non-coding RNA, 1607 nt
Organism: Vicia villosa (hairy vetch)
Lineage: Eukaryota; Viridiplantae; Streptophyta; Magnoliopsida; Fabales; Fabaceae
Exons: 7
Source: RefSeq, a predicted model, not a curated record
UUGUCUCUUUGGUUACGAACCUGAUUCAUCAUUCAUCAGCCACUUCCAAUCUUCCUCUCCAAUCUUCUUCGUAUACAACUGUUUCUUUAUUCUGAUUUUAAAUUAUCAAUUUCCCAUUUUAUUAUUCACAUCAAACAAAUUUGCAGCUUCUUCGUUUAGGGUUUUGUUUCUGUUUCUUCGAUUUAUAACAACACAUACAUCACUCUUCAGAUUAAAGGAGAUGAUGGUUGUUGAUUGAACGUGAUGAUUGUUGUAUGAUUUCAUUCUAAGGUGAUCUUUGUUAUCCUCUAUUUUGUUUAUUGAUCAUUCUAUGUUUUUUGUUUCACAGGUUACUGAUUUGCACGAAGUUGAAAAACAAAUCAUGGAGUUUAUGGCUUAUGGCUCCAAUCGAUUUUCUCGCAUCUUCUCCGCUUUGACGUACCAUAAUUUCCCCAAAUUCUAACCAUCUUCUUCAAUCGAUCCCUUUUCUGUUUUUUUUCAAAUGCCGCAAAAAUUCCUCUAUUCUCCUCCAUAACAAUACAAAUCUCCAUCUUUCUCAAAUUCAUCUGUACAACUGCAUCACAAUAUGAAUCAAACAAUAAAAAAUGGAAGAUAAUAUUGUACCAAAUGGAAUCGUGCGGUGGAGCGGCGGCCGUAGUCAGAGAAGGGUGGUCCGCGGUUUCGUUCGAUUUCGGCGACUGAUAAUUUAUUUUUAAAUUAGCCCCAAAAUUUUAUAUCAUAUGUUCUGUUGAAUUUGUAACUAAUGUACUUUCAUUUUGCAGGCAAACUUCUAAUAGUGACGCUGUUAUUGAGAAGUUAAGUUUGCUCGUGAAGAAAUCGUCGAAUGCUGAUGAUUGUGAAGAUGGGAAUCAAUCCAUCAAUUAGAGGAGAAGUUUGGGAAUUUCUACUCAGUUGCUAUGAUGCCAAGAGUACAUUUGAGGAAAGAGAGGAGAUAAGGCAGUGUCGUAGGGCGAAAUAUGCUGAAUGGAAGGAAGAAUGUCGUCAAUUAUUUUCGCUCGUGGGAAGUGGUAGAUUUAUCACAACACCUGUAGUUACUGACGAUGGUCAACCGAUUCAAGAUCCAACUAUAUCGAGCGUCUACUGCGCAAAUUAAUGAACAGUAGUCAUCCAAAUGAAAAAGUCGAUUCAGAUUACAAAGCCUUCCCGAUCAUGUGUGAAUGUGGACGAGCUGGUAGAGAUAGUCAGCCUACUUCCUGUGUAUUAUAUUAUAACUACAGUGACUAUGGAAUUACUGAGGGCUUACUCUAAAUGCCAAAAUAGUGCUAAAAUUAUUUCUGUUCAAAAUGAAUGGCUAUCACAAGCACGUCAGGUUAUGCUGGUGAGUUUUCCGUGCUUUUGUGAUGCGUAUGUGGUUUUCCAUUGGAAUUACAGUUAUGUUUUCUUUUUAUACUAUAAAUUAGAGUUUAGAUGAGUUGGAUUUUAAGAUUGAUCAAGGGCGACUUCAAGACUCAGAGUGUUUGUUUACAAUAAUUUUUGUUUUCUUUGUUGUAGAAAUAGUGAAGAACUUAAUGGAGGCUCAUUCUGAAAGGGUAUCCCGCUAUUCACGAUAUACCAACAAUUUGUUUUGGUUAUUAUGAAUAGUAUUUACCUGAGAUUAUGCAUAUUGA